GAAUCUUAGACAAUGGGCGCAAGCCUGAUCUAGCCAUGCCGCGUGAGCGAUGAAGGCCUUAGGGUUGUAAAGCUCUUUCACCGGGGAAGAUAAUGACGGUACCCGGAGAAGCAGCCCCGGCUAACUCCGUGCCAGCAGCCGCGGUAAUACAGAGGGUGCGAGCGUUAAUCGGAAUUACUGGGCGUAAAGCGCACGUAGGUGGCGACGUAAGUCGGGUGUGAAAGCCCCGGGCUCAACCUGGGAAUUGCAUUCGAGACUGCAUUGCUGGAGUACGGAAGAGGAGGGCGGAAUUCCCGGUGUAGCGGUGAAAUGCGUAGAUAUCGGGAGGAACAUCAGUGGCGAAGGCGGCCCUCUGGUCCAGUACUGACACUCAAGUGCGAAAGCGUGGGGAGCAAACAGG
This 400-nucleotide ribosomal RNA is filed under the name uncultured bacterium. RNAcentral's name for it is "bacterial SSU rRNA". It matches the Rfam family "Bacterial small subunit ribosomal RNA", at positions 359 to 776 of the family's 1533-position model. The record is from RNAcentral.